RNAcentral lists this ribosomal RNA (497 nucleotides) under uncultured bacterium. Its description in RNAcentral is "partial 16S ribosomal RNA". It matches the Rfam family "Bacterial small subunit ribosomal RNA", at positions 28 to 507 of the family's 1533-position model. The record is from RNAcentral.
GAUGAACGCUGGCGGCGUGCCUAAUACAUGCAAGUCGAGCGAACGGACGAGAAGCUUGCUUUUCUGAUGUUAGCGGCGGACGGGUGAGUAACACGUGGAUAACCUACCUAUAAGACUGGGAUAACUUCGGGAAACCGGAGCUAAUACCGGAUAAUAUUUUGAACCGCAUGGUUCAAAAGUGAAAGACGGUCUUGCUGUCACUUAUAGAUGGAUCCACGCUGCAUUAGCUAGUUGGUAAGGUAACGGCUUACCAAGGCAACGAUGCAUAGCCGACCUGAGAGGGUGAUCGGCCACACUGGAACUGAGACACGGUCCAGACUCCUACGGGAGGCAGCAGUAGGGAAUCUUCCGCAAUGGGCGAAAGCCUGACGGAGCAACGCCGCGUGAGUGAUGAAGGUCCUCGGAUCGUAAAACUCUGUUAUUAGGGAAGAACAUAUGUGUAAGUAACUGUGCACAUCUUGACGGUACCUAAUCAGAAAGCCACGGCUAACUACGUG